GUGCUCACUUCGGCAGCACAUGUACUAAAAUUGGAAUGAUACAGAGAAGAUUAACAUGGCCUCUGUGCAAGGCUGACAUGAAAAUUUGUGAAGCAUUCCAUAUUAUA
RNAcentral lists this small nuclear RNA (107 nucleotides) under Salvator merianae (Argentine black and white tegu). Lineage: Eukaryota; Metazoa; Chordata; Lepidosauria; Squamata; Teiidae. The record is from RNAcentral.